CUGGGCUUGACAUCCCGAGAAUCCUGUAGAAAUACGGGAGUGCCUCUUCGAGGAACUCGGUGACAGGUGCUGCAUGGCUGUCGUCAGCUCGUGUCGUGAGAUGUUGGGUUAAGUCCCGCAACGAGCGCAACCCUUGCCUUUAGUUGCCAGCAUUGAGUUGGGCACUCUAAAGGGACUGCCGGUGUUAAACCGGAGGAAGGUGGGGAUGACGUCAAGUCCUCAUGGCCCCUAUGUCCAGGGCUACACACGUGCUACAAUGGUCGAUACAAAGGGCUGCGAACCCGCGAGGGGGGGCUAAUCUCAAAAAAUCGGCCUCAGUUCGGAUCGGAGUCUGCAACUCGACUCCGUGAAGUUGGAAUCGCUAGUAAUCGCGGAUCAGCAUGCCGCGGUGAAUACGUUCC
RNAcentral lists this ribosomal RNA (401 nucleotides) under uncultured bacterium. Its description in RNAcentral is "bacterial SSU rRNA". It matches the Rfam family "Bacterial small subunit ribosomal RNA", at positions 975 to 1374 of the family's 1533-position model. The record is from RNAcentral.